Molecule: long non-coding RNA, 2221 nt
Filed under: Pogona vitticeps (central bearded dragon)
Lineage: Eukaryota; Metazoa; Chordata; Lepidosauria; Squamata; Agamidae
Description: lncRNA (ENSPVIG00000020847.1)
Source: RNAcentral
UCCUUCACGAGCGAUGCAACAGCUUGGAGGUGCUCCUCAACGUCACCUGGUAUCUGCGCAGUUCCCGUUGCCACAACGAGAUCCACAUUGACGAAAACGAAGCGCUGUCUUACCUCAGGAACCACGAGGAUGCCACCAGCACCACAGGGGAUGGCCAGUAUGUUUGGUACAGUGGCCAGAUCAGCUGUGGCUCGCUCCAUGAGGUGGGAGAUCCGAAGUAAAGACGACUGAGUGUCAGACUGUCACGAGCAGGGAGGGGAGCUCACGUUUCCCCUGUGCUCCGAAAAGUUCUCUCUUGUUUUUGGACUCCAGUUCCUGGGAUCUCCCUGCUAGCUGGAGGAUUCUGGGAGCGACACGCCUUUCAGACAGGGAGCUGAUCCGGCUUCCGGGGUCUGGUGGCCUUACAUCGGGUUACCCCCUCGGUCCCUCUGGCCCUGGGUUCCUAACCUUGCCUAGCAGUGACGGCCUUUCUGGAUUUGAGCCAGGAUUCUUUUCCUGGACCCACCAGGAGAGGAGAUCCCAGACCCAACUGGGAUUGGGUGCGGAGGGGGGGGUGGGGGAAUCUGCCUGCUAGGCUCUUCGGUCAAGCUACACCCCCUCCCCCUCCCCAUCCCAGAAGUAGCGACCGCUCGCCCAUCCCUUUCCUUGUGGUUUUUCCUCCAAGGUUUUGGGAGGAAGGGACCUUGAGAGGCAACGGGAUGGGGGUGGGAUGGGGGUGGAGGGUGUCCUGCGGCUGCCUUGUGCAGGGAAGGGAGGUGUGUGUCCGGAAGGGUGCCCCUCAGGGGGCAAUUCCCACUUUAUUUGCAGCUCGAUCCCUCAAAAAGAGCCUGGGCAGAAGUUAAAGGAGGGCUCUGGAGUCCAAGGAGAAAGCCGGGCUUCUUUUUGACCAAGGGGAAGGAAGGCGGCUUUUGGUCAGGGAGUAGCCCUUUCAGUCGGGAGCAGGGCAUGGGGGGGGGGCUCUCCAGAUGGUUCCUGCCUAUGACCCCCACUGGCCCCAGGAGCGGGGGAGGGGGAGGGGGAUGUUCCAUGCUGCUCACUUUGGCCACUCUGGCCACCACCUUCAGCCGAUUGGUGGCUACUGGAUCAGAACCACGAGGGGGUCAGGUUGGGGGUGGGGUGGGAGGAAGGCGUGGUGAGGGAGGGGCGACUGGCACACCUGACUUGAACCACCCAUCCACCCCUCUCCGUUCCCUUCUGUUUCAGCUGCACUUUUCGGAGCUGCCCGAGCCUCGGAGGCUGCGGCCUUUACAAGAUCAGCUGACAGCCGCCAAUCUGGUGAAGAAGACGGAGGCCUCCCAGCUUCCAGGGAGUGAGAAGGGAAAGGAGACGGAACACAGCCCGGCAGCCAAAGCCGGGGAAAAGCCCGAGGAGGCCCACGUCGAGAAACCCAAGGAAGGCCAGGCAGGGCAGCCCUCUCCUGUGGCCGGCAAGAAAGCCAGCAAAGAGGCCAAGAAGAAAACCACUCUGGCACCUCACAGGCGAGAGGUGGGUGGCCGGACAGUUGGAACUGCGGUCCAGCGGCCUGAGCCAGUGGCCUUGCUCGGCCCUCGGCCUGACCCUCCGCCGAGUGUCUGAAAGGGGCUCUCGGUUCCGCUCUCGGUCUUUCCUUCUCUAGCCUGGCGAUGGAUGGAGCUCCUCCUCGCCUGACCUGGCCCGUGUUGGGUUGUUGUUUUAGCCUUCCGCCGUGGCUGCCACCUGGGACGAUGGGCCGUACGUCUUCAUCCUCGGGAUCAAGAGCCCGUCGGCCAACUGGGAGCUGCAGAGUGAGUGGAGCCGGCCGGUCCGACGUUCCACAGCAGACCCAUUGAGAGGGCUCCUGGGGACCUGGGGCCAGUCCUGGGGCUGAAGGGCCACACGGGAUAAGCGGCCUUCCCGGCAGUAUUUGCAGGCUUCCCUUCGGGUCUCUUCCUUGUGGACUAGCACCCUAGUCAUAAAAUAUAAGCCUGAGGAUCAGGAAAGGGUUGCAGCAUAAACAGAUUGAAUAAGGAACUCAUAAUGACAUCAGGAGAUUACUUUCUGCUACACCAUGGCCACCAGCAGCAGUUAAAAAACCGUUGAGAAGUUUGUUCUCUCUCUCUCUCUCUCUCUCUCUCUCUCUCUGUGUGUGUGUGUGUGUGUGUGUGUGUGUGUAAUGCUUGUUUAAGCACAAGAAGGGAAAUACAAAAAAGGUAUUCUGGGUGGGGAGAAUAAAAAUGUCUUAUCUCAAGAUGACGGCCGGCUU